AGAGUUCGUUCCUGGCUCAGGAUGAACGCUAGCUACAGGCUUAACACAUGCAAGUCGAGGGGCAGCAUGGUCUUAGCUUGCUAAGGCCGAUGGCGACCGGCGCACGGGUGAGUAACACGUAUCCAACCUGCCGUCUACUCUUGGACAGCCUUCUGAAAGGAAGAUUAAUACAAGAUGGCAUCAUGAGUCCGCAUGUUCACAUGAUUAAAGGUAUUCCGGUAGACGAUGGGGAUGCGUUCCAUUAGAUAGUAGGCGGGGUAACGGCCCACCUAGUCUUCGAUGGAUAGGGGUUCUGAGAGGAAGGUCCCCCACAUUGGAACUGAGACACGGUCCAAACUCCUACGGGAGGCAGCAGUGAGGAAUAUUGGUCAAUGGGCGAGAGCCUGAACCAGCCAAGUAGCGUGAAGGAUGACUGCCCUAUGGGUUGUAAACUUCUUUUAUAAAGGAAUAAAGUCGGGUAUGCAUACCCGUUUGCAUGUACUUUAUGAAUAAGGAUCGGCUAACUCCGUGCCAGCAGCCGCGGUAAUACGGAGGAUCCGAGCGUUAUCCGGAUUUAUUGGGUUUAAAGGGAGCGUAGAUGGAUGUUUAAGUCAGUUGUGAAAGUUUGCGGCUCAACCGUAAAAUUGCAGUUGAUACUGGAUAUCUUGAGUGCAGUUGAGGCAGGCGGAAUUCGUGGUGUAGCGGUGAAAUGCUUAGAUAUCACGAAGAACUCCGAUUGCGAAGGCAGCCUGCUAAGCUGCAACUGACAUUGAGGCUCGAAAGUGUGGGUAUCAAACAGGAUUAGAUACCCUGGUAGUCCACACGGUAAACGAUGAAUACUCGCUGUUUGCGAUAUACGGCAAGCGGCCAAGCGAAAGCGUUAAGUACUCCACCUGGGGAGUACGCCGGCAACGGUGAAACUCAAAGGAAUUGACGGGGGCCCGCACAAGCGGAGGAACAUGUGGUUUAAUUCGAUGAUACGCGAGGAACCUUACCCGGGCUUGAAUUGCACUCGGAUAUAGCGGAAACGUUAUAGCUAGCAAUAGCGAGUGUGAAGGUGCUGCAUGGUUGUCGUCAGCUCGUGCCGUGAGGUGUCGGCUUAAGUGCCAUAACGAGCGCAACCCUUGUUGUCAGUUACUAACAGGUUCUGCUGAGGACUCUGACAAGACUGCCAUCGUAAGAUGUGAGGAAGGUGGGGAUGACGUCAAAUCAGCACGGCCCUUACGUCCGGGGCUACACACGUGUUACAAUGGGGGGUACAGAGGGCCGCUACCACGCGAGUGGAUGCCAAUCCCCAAAACCUCUCUCAGUUCGGACUGGAGUCUGCAACCCGACUCCACGAAGCUGGAUUCGCUAGUAAUCGCGCAUCAGCCACGGCGCGGUGAAUACGUUCCCGGGCCUUGCACUCACCGCCCGUCAAG
This 1400-nucleotide ribosomal RNA is filed under the name uncultured bacterium. RNAcentral's name for it is "bacterial SSU rRNA". It matches the Rfam family "Bacterial small subunit ribosomal RNA". The record is from RNAcentral.